UGUGUGGCAUCUGUUGGCUGCCUUGUGAUUCAGCCAUAGCUGGUGGUUCGGCACAAAACAUCAUUCCUCUCUUCACCUCGCCAACAGAUUAGAUAGCAGCAGCCAGGACAGUUCUUUUUGUGAAGUGUCUACUUAUUGCGGGACGACUGGUAUCUUCAACAGUUUUACAGUACAUGGAAACGAAGAUAGCUACACAAGAAAAACACCUAAUAAUUGUCAACACUGAACAGAAGUUAAACAUGUAACAGCUACGAAGAGGAUACAAUUUAAGUGUUUGUGUUCACAGGGAAUAGGCAGCAGAAGAAUCGUCGAAUAAACAAGAGCUUUGUCUCCCGAGUGAGAACUUCGUACAUGGAAAGAAAUAACGACCUCAGCAGACGAACCGUCCUAUCUGCUAUCUUUAUCCGCGCUCCAAAAAUAGCAACAAUCCAGAUGCUAACAGUGGUUUUUGAAGCCAACCAAAGACGAACAUUUCCAAGGAAGGAUCCGUAAAAAGCUCUGCUUGCUGCGUGGACUAAAUGUAUUUUCAUCAAAACCAGGAGAGAUAAAAUGUGCGUUUGAGCGACAGCAUAGUCGUGGUGUGCAGACCUUGAAAUUGCGGGUCAGCGCAGGGAUACUGUCUUCUCUUCAUCAAUAAACAGAGCUCGGCAUGAUGUGCUACCUGUGUCCGCUGGAUCAGCUGUACGGCCGACGGCGCCUGGCUCUGCUUGCCGUGGGUGUGGGCGUCCUCCUGCUGCUCUUCUCCGCUGGUUUCGAGCACUCGUGGAAGCACGUUUGCGCCCCUGCCAACAGCAGUGAUGUGACCCAAAGCUUCAGAGGGGUUUACACGGAUCGCGGAGCAUAUGAUGGCUUUGACAUUCGGCAUUACAUUCAGACAGCAGCAGUAGUGGUUGGCACUGCCACGUUCUUGAUCAGUGCUACCUUGUGGGGUGAGGUCUGGGAUGAACAUUUCCUGCGACUGAGACUGGUUGUCGUCAUCAGUAUGUCGCUGU
This 992-nucleotide long non-coding RNA is filed under the name Pomacea canaliculata. Its description in RNAcentral is "uncharacterized LOC112561008, transcript variant X2". The record is from RNAcentral. Lineage: Eukaryota; Metazoa; Mollusca; Gastropoda; Architaenioglossa; Ampullariidae.